AACGCUAGCUACAGGCUUAACACAUGCAAGUCGAGGGGCAUCANGAAGAAAGCUUGCUUUCUUUGCUGGCGACCGGCGCACGGGUGAGUAACACGUAUCCAACCUGCCCUUUACUCGGGGAUAGCCUUUCGAAAGAAAGAUUAAUACCCGAUAGUAUAAUGAUUCCGCAUGGUUUCAUUAUUAAAGGAUUCCGGUAAAGGAUGGGGAUGCGUUCCAUUAGGUUGUUGGUGAGGUAACGGCUCACCAAGCCUUCGAUGGAUUAGGGGUUCUGAGAGGAAGGUCCCCCACAUUGGAACUGAGACACGGUCCAAACUCCUACGGGAGGCAGCAGUGAGGAAUAUUGGUCAAUGGGCGCUAGCCUGAACCAGCCAAGUAGCGUGAAGGAUGAAGGCUCUAUGGGUCGUAAACUUCUUUUAUAUAAGAAUAAAGUGCAGUAUGUAUACUGUUUUGUAUGUAUUAUAUGAAUAAGGAUCGGCUAACUCCGUGCCAGCAGCCGCGGUAAUACGGAGGAUCCGAGCGUUAUCCGGAUUUAUUGGGUUUAAAGGGAGCGUAGGUGGACUGGUAAGUCAGUUGUGAAAGUUUGCGGCUCAACCGUAAAAUUGCAGUUGAUACUGUCAGUCUUGAGUACAGUAGAGGUGGGCGGAAUUCGUGGUGUAGCGGUGAAAUGCUUAGAUAUCACGAAGAACUCCGAUUG
This 694-nucleotide ribosomal RNA is filed under the name uncultured bacterium. RNAcentral's name for it is "bacterial SSU rRNA". It matches the Rfam family "Bacterial small subunit ribosomal RNA", at positions 32 to 715 of the family's 1533-position model. The record is from RNAcentral.